AAACGGGCUGCUGGACUUCAACUGACACGUUUCCUUCUCCACAUGAAGUUUCCUCCUCACUGCCCCACGUCUACAUCGCUCAGGUUCAGCUAACUAUCCUCUCAGUGCUGAUGCAGGUUGGACUCAGUCUGUUGUUUCCAGUAAAGACCAGAGGGAGGGGGUGAAUGGGGGGGGGAGAGAGAGAAAGUCUGGGUUUGUUUCUGCGACCAUGGCAGACGACGGUGACCUGGGCGUCGCUUUGGAUAACAUGAGAAGUGAGUAAAAAAGGCACAAAACCAAAUAUAUCUAUAGAUAUACAGUAUCUCUAUGUAUUGUGAUGGUUUUACAGUAAGCACCAGUGAGGAUGUGAAUAUAAGCUGUGAGACAGAGAUCACCACCUCUCAUCAGGAUAAAGAAGAACAACCAGAGAUGAAGCUGCACUCUUUUCCACUUCCUCUUUUUCACCUCCAGACUUCCUCUCUUCCCUCAGCCCAGCCUCCAUCAGAUGAGGUCUACCUGCAGGCAGCAGCUAUUUUCCAACAGCUGCAAACAGAAAAGCCAGUCAAAAAUCAACUUCUGCAUUAUGGGAAAAACACAGAGUCGCCUCCACUGGGAAAUGAAGACAAACCAGGAGAAGAAGAGGCCUAUCAGCU
RNAcentral lists this long non-coding RNA (632 nucleotides) under Gouania willdenowi (blunt-snouted clingfish). RNAcentral describes it as "lncRNA (ENSGWIG00000026788.1)". Lineage: Eukaryota; Metazoa; Chordata; Actinopteri; Blenniiformes; Gobiesocidae. The record is from RNAcentral.